CCUACGGGAGGCAGCAGUGAGGAAUAUUGGUCAAUGGUCGGGAGACUGAACCAGCCAAGCCGCGUGAGGGAGGAAGGUACAGAGUAUCGUAAACCUCUUUUGUCAGGGAACAAAGGCGGGGACGUGUCCCCGGAUGAGUGUACCUGAAGAAAAAGCAUCGGCUAACUCCGUGCCAGCAGCCGCGGUAAUACGGAGGAUGCGAGCGUUAUCCGGAUUUAUUGGGUUUAAAGGGUGCGCAGGCGGACUGUUAAGUCAGCGGUAAAAGCCCGGGGCCCAACCCCGGCCCGCCGUUGAAACUGGCAGUCUCGAGUUGGAGAGAGGUAUGCGGAAUGCGCGGUGUAGCGGUGAAAUGCAUAGAUAUCGCGCAGAACUCCGAUUGCGAAGGCAGCAUGCCGGCUCCACACUGACGCUGAGGCACGAAAGCGUGGGUAUCGAACAGGAUUAGAUACCCGAGUAGUC
This 459-nucleotide ribosomal RNA is filed under the name uncultured bacterium. Its description in RNAcentral is "partial 16S ribosomal RNA". It matches the Rfam family "Bacterial small subunit ribosomal RNA", at positions 338 to 795 of the family's 1533-position model. The record is from RNAcentral.